CGUGCUUCAUCUGUCUGAUUCCACCUGGCCAGAGGGGCAGGAUCGGCAGGAUUCAAGGUACGGCUGCUUCUGAUCCCGCCAGCAAUAAGAACAAUACGUAGGAGCAUCGAACAUCCGACUCCACCAGACCAGAGGAACAGCAUUCAUCCUACACAAGAAAUAACACUACGAUUAACCUAACCAUUUAUUUCAUUUACAUUCCAGCUAUUAUACAAUAUGUACAUGAAGGAAAUAAAUAUGUGAAUUAAACUUUAA
Long non-coding RNA from Ceratina calcarata, 255 nucleotides. RefSeq lists it as uncharacterized. Lineage: Eukaryota; Metazoa; Arthropoda; Insecta; Hymenoptera; Apidae. The transcript is spliced from 2 exons. The record is from RefSeq and is a predicted model, not a curated record.